Galeopterus variegatus (Sunda flying lemur) is the source of this 296-nucleotide long non-coding RNA. RefSeq lists it as uncharacterized. The record is from RefSeq and is a predicted model, not a curated record. The transcript has 2 exons. NCBI's taxonomy places the organism in Eukaryota, Metazoa, Chordata, Mammalia, Dermoptera, Cynocephalidae.
ACCGCGCAGUCCGGACCCCCCGAGCGCUAGCGCUCUGUCACUGCGGGCGAGUCACGUCGCCUCUCAGAACCUCGGGGUCCCCUUCUGCUGAGAGCAGGUGACGGGAGGGAGCUCGCAGCGUCGUGAAACGUCCUCAAGGAGACGAGAUGAAGAAACUAAGUCAGAAAGGCUAAAUGACUUCCCCAGUUGAGACAAUUAGUGGAAAAGAAGAAUCAGCCCUCAAGGACAAGAUGGUCACAUUAGGGAGACACCAACACCAAAAGUUAAAUAACAAUAAAGCGUUAAUUAUUCAAGGC